This is a non-coding RNA of Camellia sinensis, 222 nucleotides long. Lineage: Eukaryota; Viridiplantae; Streptophyta; Magnoliopsida; Ericales; Theaceae. The record is from RefSeq and is a predicted model, not a curated record.
UAUCAUUCUUCCUUUGUUUUGAAGAACUGUUGGCUUCUUUACGGGAAACCCUGAAGUCGGUCAAGGAUAUCCCCCACAUACUCAAGAAAUUCAACUCCCCAAGUUCUGCAUGUACAACUGGCGAUUGGACAGCUUUUCUGAAGAGCAUCUGUUCACUCCUACAUGUGAACAAGAUAUUUGAAGUUGGCAUUUCUGGAAGUCUUUGAGAGCAAAUGAGAUAUU